UACGUAGGGACCAAGCGUUGUUCGGAUUUACUGGGCGUAAAGGGCGCGUAGGCGGCGCAAUAAGUCAUUUGUGAAAUCUCCGGGCUUAACUCGGAGCGGCCAAGUGAUACUGUUGUGCUAGAGUGCAGAAAGGGCAAUCGGAAUUCCCGGUGUAGCGGUGAAAUGCGCAGAUAUCGGGAGGAACACCGGUGGCGAAGGCGGUUCUCUGGGCCUUACCUGACGCUGAGGAGCGAAAGCGUGGGGAGCGAACAGG
RNAcentral lists this ribosomal RNA (253 nucleotides) under uncultured bacterium. RNAcentral describes it as "partial 16S ribosomal RNA". It matches the Rfam family "Bacterial small subunit ribosomal RNA", at positions 524 to 776 of the family's 1533-position model. The record is from RNAcentral.